Molecule: ribosomal RNA, 402 nt
Filed under: uncultured bacterium
Lineage: Bacteria
Description: partial 16S ribosomal RNA
Rfam family: Archaeal small subunit ribosomal RNA
Source: RNAcentral
ACACCGGCAGCUCAAGUGGUAGCCGCUUUUAUUGGGCCUAAAGCGUCCGUAGCCGGUCUGAUAAGUCUCUGGUGAAAUCCCACAGCUUAACUGUGGGAAUUGCUGGAGAUACUAUCAUGACUCGAGGUCGGGAGAGGCUGGAGGUACUCCCAGGGUAGGGGUGAAAUCCUGUAAUCCUGGGAGGACCACCUGUGGCGAAGGCGUCCAGCUGGAACGAACCUGACGGUGAGGGACGAAAGCCAGGGGCGCGAACCGGAUUAGAUACCCGGGUAGUCCUGGCCGUAAACGAUGUGGACUUGGUGUUGGGAUGGCUUCGAGCUGCCCCAGUGCCGAAGGGAAGCUGUUAAGUCCACCGCCUGGGAAGUACGGUCGCAAGACUGAAACUCAAAGGAAUUGGCGGGG